CCCUAACCCCUCAUAAAUACACAUGGGAGGACACUUCCUUACACACACACACACACACACCCCCGCCCCCCCCCCCCUGACAAAAGGCUUCCUUCCAAUACACACCAACUCUCUGUGUUCUCGGGAGCUCCGACUAAACGUGUGUGAAACACGUUCACAUCCUGGAGUCCACGCAUCCCUCGUUACACUGGGAGGAGACUGGAGCCCCAGGGGCCCAGUGAGUGGUAGAGUUGAACCACUUCCAUUGACCUUCGCCCUGUCCUUCCCCUAAAGCACGUGGUCCGGAUUGUGCAACAGUCAUUGAGCCGACGCGUCCAAAGCUCCGUGCGCACGCGGCGGAGAGAACCAAAGCCUGACGACAACACGACAUCUCUUCUCUAACUCAGAGAUACGGAGAUCUGACCUCCCGACCUGGAGCUUCCUAACUUCCACAUCCAACUGAAGCCUGGUGACAGGCUGGUGACAGGCUGGUGCCAGGCUGUUGACAGGCUGGUUGGACUGUAAACAGUCACUGCUGUACUAAGGUGUGUGCUGUGACCAGAGUCAACGUCAUGUUUAUGGAGUGCUGUCAUCUGUCACUCACUGGAAUGCUUCAUGCAGCUCUGUCGAUUCUUUUGGGGGAACAUUGUUUUAGAAUGAACUCCAAUCCUAGGGGAGCACGGAGAACGAAAUCCCCAAAAUGAUGUUUCAAAUGUUUCAAACACAGGAAAAACAAACUAACUGAGCUGGUCUCUCCCGGGUCAAUCCACCCGCUGAUGAACGGAGGAGUCCGUCAAGGAGAGGGAACGCGCCCAGAUGGUGUUCAGGGUGGGGGUCGG
Long non-coding RNA from Gadus macrocephalus (Pacific cod), 818 nucleotides. RefSeq lists it as uncharacterized. Lineage: Eukaryota; Metazoa; Chordata; Actinopteri; Gadiformes; Gadidae. The record is from RefSeq and is a predicted model, not a curated record. The transcript has 3 exons.